CUUCCUCUUAGGCUGUGUUGUGUGUUCUCACUUUUACUUCACCAUCUGAGUUUUCCUGCCCACCCUGUUCCCUACCCUCAACUUCUGCCAAUCGGAAAACAACCUAUAAAACGCAGCACCAAGAUUCCCACCGCCCCCUCCCUCCCACUAUGUGGUUCCUUCUCAAUUUCUCAAACAGAUAGAAGACUUUGAGGGAUCGAGAACUUUUGGUGCUUAGCAUGAUGUUUCAAGUAUUCAUGAAAUAUUUCGGGAAUGGAACUGAUAGUUACUGAAAAGAGAUGUCAGCGGAAGGGGAGUAAGCUGAAGUCAAAGGACCAAGGCUCUAAUUCUACCCCUGCCAAAACCCAAGGUACCUUAGUCAAGCUCCCUAAGGCCUGUAAUUCAACUUCUGUGACAUGAAGAGUCCUUUUCAAACUCUAGGAUUAUAUUAUUUGUG
This 436-nucleotide long non-coding RNA is filed under the name Homo sapiens (human). RNAcentral describes it as "non-protein coding lnc-SGCG-3:4". Lineage: Eukaryota; Metazoa; Chordata; Mammalia; Primates; Hominidae. The record is from RNAcentral.